CUCCUCAUAGGACGAGGCUGAGGCGGCCGCGUUUCCACUAGUGAUUUCUGUUUGAUCCCGGCGGAGGCUACUGCUAUUGGGAUUCGAUUAAGCCAUGCAAGUCGAACGAAUUUAGAUUCGUGGCGUACGGCUCAGUAACACGUGGAUAACCUACCCUUAGGACCGGGAUAACCCUGGGAAACUGGGGCUAAUACUGGAUAGAUGAUUUUUCCUGGAAUGGGUUUUUGUUUAAAUGUUUUUUCGCCUAAGGAUGGGUCUGCGGCAGAUUAGGUAGUUGGUUAGGUAAUGGCUUACCAAGCCUAUGAUCUGUACGGGUUGUGAGAGCAAGAGCCCGGAGAUGGAACCUGAGACAAGGUUCCAGGCCCUACGGGGCGCGGCAGGCGCGAAACCUCCGCAAUGUGAGAAAUCGCGACGGGGGGAUCCCAAGUGCCAUUCUUAACGGGAUGGCUUUUCUUAAGUGUAAAAAGCUUUUGGAAUAAGAGCUGGGCAAGACCGGUGCCAGCCGCCGCGGUAACACCGGCAGCUCUAGUGGUAGCUGUUUUUAUUGGGCCUAAAGCGUUCUUACCCGGUUUGAUAAGUCACUGGUGAAAUCCUUGAAGCUUAACUGUGGGAAUUGCUGGGGAUACUGUCUAACUUGAAGUCGGGAGAAGUCAGCCGUACUCCCAGCGGAGAGGGUAAAUUCUGUAAUCCUGGAAGGACACCUGUGGUAGAGGCGGUUACUGGAUAGUACCUGUCCGUGAGGGACGAAUGCUAGGGGUGCGAACCGGAUAGAUUACCCGGUGAGUCCUGCCUUGAACCUAUCGGACUUUGGCGUUGGCUUGCUUUUUAGCCUCUCCUUUUCCGAAGGAAUCUUU
Molecule: ribosomal RNA, 854 nt
Filed under: uncultured rumen archaeon
Lineage: Archaea
Description: bacterial SSU rRNA
Rfam family: Archaeal small subunit ribosomal RNA
Source: RNAcentral